Molecule: non-coding RNA, 156 nt
Organism: Vicia faba (fava bean)
Lineage: Eukaryota; Viridiplantae; Streptophyta; Magnoliopsida; Fabales; Fabaceae
Source: the annotation of a GenBank genome assembly
AUGCGUUUUUGCAUAAACGCAUGUUAUUUUGUUUUCGAGAAAGGCACUGUGUUUGGUUUGGUACUUGUAAAAUAUGUGUUCAGCUAUUAUUUGAGUCGAGAAAGGCACUGUGUUUGGUUUAAUACUAGUAAAAUAUGUGUUCAGCUAUUAUUUGAG